RNAcentral lists this long non-coding RNA (2250 nucleotides) under Zea mays. Its description in RNAcentral is "long non-coding RNA (ZMAY_LNC005197)". The record is from RNAcentral. Lineage: Eukaryota; Viridiplantae; Streptophyta; Magnoliopsida; Poales; Poaceae.
CAUCAUGCACGGUCUUGGCGCGUCUACGCAACUGUAUCCUAAGGGCGUCGAAGAGGAGAGACGGUACGCCGGUGGCGACAAGGUACGGUAGAUUUGAACUAGAGUGUGGAGGUAUCGUCGGCCAGUGCCAUCAGCGAUGGGUGGAGGUUUCCGUCGAGUCGAGGAAGAAGGAGCGCUUCGUGUAAAGGUAGCACUGCUUGCUCACGUUAAUCUUCCCUAUGCCUACAUCUAUGUUUUGGUUUUGCUGACCUGCAUUAAUACAGCCACUUGUUUUGGUCCUCGGUAUGUUUUCUAUGUUUUGGUUUUUCUAAUCUGCAUUGGAAGGCAUGCCUUCGGUCAUCAAUAAGACGAUGCUAAUACCUGCCAGGUUCAACAUAAUGAAAACACUGAGAGAAAACAUUAUGGAAGGUUCGAGCGAACAACAAAAAGAUGGAAAUUCACCAUAUUCCAGCAGCCUCAAAUUUGGACUUCCAGUCAGCUUCAUAGUCCUCCUGGAAAAUGUCCUUAAACCUGCAAAGUCACAUAAUAUCAAAACGGAAAUACACACACAUACAUAUAGGACCAAUUGUCUAUAUACAAGCAAAAGGUAAUAAGAGCAUAUAAAGAUGUAAGCACCUGCCAUCAUAUUUUUUCAGGAUCGUGUUUUUGGUGCUAAGGUAGAACAUCCAUUUCUUCUCAUAAGCAGUUGUCAUAGAAGCCUCGGCAAAAGCUCGGAUUGACUACCAUAGCAAUUAAAAAGAUGUUCAGCUAAGGGUCCGUUUUCCUGGGCUGGUCUUGGCCUGGAUCUUGUGCUUUCCAACUGAAUCUACACUUCUUAAUUUCUAAGAAAAAGAUGUCUGCAUCAAUAUCUCUUGGGAGGAUAUUGGUGGGCUGGAGAAUGUCAAGAGGGAGCUCCAGGAGAUAAUUAGAUGCUAAUUGACCACCUGCUCUUGGUAUUGUGUAUGUUCCACAUUUUGCUGAUUUCUUUCAAAAUUGAUGCAGACUGUUCAAUAUCCUGUGGAGCAUCCGGAGAAGUUGGAGAAGUUUGGCAUGUCUCCAUCCAAAGGAGUUUUGUUAUAUGGUCCUCAUGGUUGCGGUAAGACCUUGUUGGCAAAGGCAAUUGCCAACGAGUGCGAGGCUAAUUUCAUCAGUGUCAAGGGUCCUGAGUUGCUUAUCAUGUGGUUUGGUGAGAGUGAAGCCAACGUCCGUGAAAUUUUUGAUAAGGCUCGUCAAUCUGCUCCUUGUGUCCUCUUCUUUGAUGAGCUUGACUCAAUUGCUUCCCAGGUCUAUACACGUCUCACCUUGGGUCUUUAUUUAUUUGUGGUGUCAUGUUUUUUGUCUUACAGAUAUUAACACAUGUCACUGAACUGCGCUCUUACAUUUUUAUUCCAUCGUUGUGCAAUUGUUUGGUAAGCUGCGUAACCAUUUAAUUAUAUGCAUAUAUUUUCUAUCUAAAAAUAAAUUAUGCAUUUAUUUGGUUAGCUGACACCAUCAGCUUUGCAUUUUUCAUUAGUAGGUUCUGUUGAAUGUAUUCAAAGAAUAGCUUGUAGUAAUAUAGGGUCUUGGUUUUGGUAAGCAUUGUCGAUGCUCUGGUAGAAUAUAUCUUGAGUUACAAAUGCGAGCUUCAGUUUUCACGCAACUUCAUGAAAGCUUAGCUUUAUAGCGCAGUUCAGUGUUAAUUAUUUAAUUUUGUAGGUAAUAAAAAUGCAUUUCUUAUCCUUUAUGGUAGACAUUUCUGUCCUUUGCUACUGUCUAACUGAAUAGCUGAAAUACAAUGUUUUCAUUGGUCGAUUAAUAUUCUAUCCACUUGAAUCACAAUCACUCUCAUAAAGAAAAUUUCUUUUCCGUAAUUGAAGUUAAUGAACAAUACAACCAGGGAAUUGUUUUGCAUCCAUUGCAUGUCAUUUUUAGGUACCAAAGUAAACAAGCUCUGGACAGAUUCGCUUUCAGUUUCAGUGAUCCUGUUUGCAACAUCCAAGCAUCCUGUAAUCACCUGUAUAGCAGUUACACCUGUUCAUGUACAUGCUUUUAAUAAUAAAUCAACAACCGACAUGAUAGCUUUAUUGUAGAUGUUGUUUGUUUAUUGUUAUUAUCUUAUCGAAAGUGCUGUCAAGGAAGAUGACGAUGGUGGUAGGGAUCGACGAUAGCGAGCACAACUUCUACACGCUGAAGUGGGCGCACUGCAGCACUUCUUCCCGCCGACCAAGCUGCAACACUACUGCCUUGUUGUCGUCACCGCCAAGCCCUCUGUCGCCUCCAUUGUUCGCCCUG